RNAcentral lists this ribosomal RNA (631 nucleotides) under uncultured fungus. RNAcentral describes it as "eukaryotic LSU rRNA". The stretch from base 199 to 352 matches the Rfam family "5.8S ribosomal RNA". The record is from RNAcentral. Lineage: Eukaryota; Fungi.
AGUCGUAACAAGGUUUCCGUAGGUGAAUCUGCGGAAGGAUCAUUAGUGAAUAUAGGACGUCCAACUUAACUUGGAGUCCGAACUCUCACUUUCUAACCCUGUGCACUUGUUUGGGAUAGUAACUCUCGCAAGAGAGCGAACUCCUAUUCACUUAUAAACACAAAGUCUAUGAAUGUAUUAAAUUUUAUAACAAAAUAAAACUUUCAACAACGGAUCUCUUGGCUCUCGCAUCGAUGAAGAACGCAGCGAAAUGCGAUAAGUAAUGUGAAUUGCAGAAUUCAGUGAAUCAUCGAAUCUUUGAACGCACCUUGCGCUCCAUGGUAUUCCGUGGAGCAUGCCUGUUUGAGUGUCAUGAAUACUUCAACCCUCCUCUUUCUUAAUGAUUGAAGAGGUGUUUGGUUUCUGAGCGCUGCUGGCCUUUACGGUCUAGCUCGUUCGUAAUGCAUUAGCAUCCGCAAUCGAACUUCGGAUUGACUUGGCGUAAUAGACUAUUCGCUGAGGAAUUCUAGUCUUCGGAUUAGAGCCGGGUUGGGUUAAAGGAAGCUUCUAAUCAGAAUGUCUACAUUUUAAGAUUAGAUCUCAAAUCAGGUAGGACUACCCGCUGAACUUAAGCAUAUCAAUAUAAAAGUCG